AUCUGAUCUCAAAUCAGGUAGGACUACCCGCUGAACUUAAGCAU
Molecule: ribosomal RNA, 44 nt
Filed under: Rhizoctonia solani
Lineage: Eukaryota; Fungi; Basidiomycota; Agaricomycetes; Cantharellales; Ceratobasidiaceae
Description: partial 28S ribosomal RNA
Source: RNAcentral